This 486-nucleotide ribosomal RNA is filed under the name uncultured bacterium. RNAcentral's name for it is "partial 16S ribosomal RNA". It matches the Rfam family "Bacterial small subunit ribosomal RNA", at positions 29 to 507 of the family's 1533-position model. The record is from RNAcentral.
AUUGAACGCUGGCGGCAUGCUUUACACAUGCAAGUCGAGCGGCAGCGCGGGGGCAACCCUGGCGGCGAGCGGCGAACGGGUGAGUAAUGCAUCGGAACGUAUCCUCGAGUGGGGGAUAACCCAGCGAAAGUUGGGUUAAUACCGCAUGAGCUCUGAGGAGGAAAGCGGGGGACCUGCGAGGGCCUCGCGCUGGAGGAGCGGCCGAUGUCCGAUUAGCUAGUUGGUGGGGUAAAGGCUUACCAAGGCGACGAUCGGUAGCUGGUCUGAGAGGAUGAUCAGCCACACUGGGACUGAGACACGGCCCAGACUCCUACGGGAGGCAGCAGUGGGGAAUUUUGGACAAAGGGGGCAACCCUGAUCCAGCCAUGCCGCGUGAGUGAAGAAGGCCUUCGGGUUGUAAAGCUCUUUCGGACGGUACGAAAUGGGCGGGACUAAUACUCCUGUCUGAUGACGGUACCGUAAGAAGAAGCACCGGCUAACUACGUG